CCCUUAGAUGUUCUGGGCCGCACGCGCGCUACACUGAUGCAUUCAACGAGCCUAUCCUUGACCGACAGGUCCGGGUAAUCUUUGAAUCUGCAUCGUGACGGGGAUAGAUUAUUGCAAUUAUUAAUCUUCAACGAGGAAUGCCUAGUAGGCGCAAGUCAUCAGCUUGCGUCGAUUACGUCCCUGCCCUUUGUACACACCGCCCGUCGCUCCUACCGAUUGGGUGUGCUGGUGAAAUGUUCGGAUCGGCCGUUUGUCGCGGUUUCCGCGGCUCGUGGCUGAGAAGUUCAUUAAACCCUCCCACCUAGAGGAAGGAGAAGUCGUAACU
RNAcentral lists this ribosomal RNA (325 nucleotides) under uncultured eukaryote. RNAcentral describes it as "partial 18S ribosomal RNA". It matches the Rfam family "Eukaryotic small subunit ribosomal RNA", at positions 1470 to 1796 of the family's 1831-position model. The record is from RNAcentral.